RNAcentral lists this ribosomal RNA (462 nucleotides) under uncultured bacterium. RNAcentral's name for it is "bacterial SSU rRNA". It matches the Rfam family "Bacterial small subunit ribosomal RNA", at positions 29 to 533 of the family's 1533-position model. The record is from RNAcentral.
AACGAACGCUGGCGGCAGGCCUAACACAUGCAAGUCGAACGGGACCUUCGGGUCUAGUGGCGGACGGGUGAGUAACGCGUGGGAACGUGCCCUUUGGUUCGGAAUAGCCUCGGGAAACUGGGAGUAAUACCGGAUACGGUCGAGAGACGAAAGAUUUAUCGCCGAAGGAUCGGCCCGCGUUGGAUUAGGUAGUUGGUGGGGUAAAGGCCUACCAAGCCGACGAUCCAUAGCUGGUUUGAGAGGAUGAUCAGCCACACUGGGACUGAGACACGGCCCAGACUCCUACGGGAGGCAGCAGUGGGGAAUAUUGGACAAUGGGCGAAAGCCUGAUCCAGCAAUGCCGCGUGAGUGAUGAAGGCCUUAGGGUUGUAAAGCUCUUUUUACCCGGGAUGAUAAUGACAGUACCGGGAGAAUAAGACUCCGGCUAACUCCGUGCCAGCAGCCGCGGUAAAGUGACUACUG